This 3601-nucleotide long non-coding RNA is filed under the name Equus caballus (horse). Its description in RNAcentral is "lncRNA (ENSECAG00000054164.1)". Lineage: Eukaryota; Metazoa; Chordata; Mammalia; Perissodactyla; Equidae. The record is from RNAcentral.
CGCGUAUCCAGUGCUCAGUGUCUUUAACCGCUUCCUGUGGAACUGUGAUUGUUCUCGUCAUCUGCUCUUGAAACAUCCUGGUUUGGGAUGAAGUGAAGAGAACACAGGUAAAAGGAUUGUUCCCACCCUGAAGCUUGGAGCUCAGUGGCACCCACAUUUCUGGAAAUGGUGCAGCCUCUGGGAACAGCUCUGUCGUGGGCGUGGUUGUUUCUUCAAGGGUCUCUAAUCUGUUCAGAGUGUAUUUCAUCCGUAUUGUUAUGUCAUCCUCGUCUGAACAGUUUGAAGUGCGAACUCCUGUGUCCCGUGGCCUCCCCCAGUCACUGCCACCUGCUGCAGCAGGGACGCUAGUCAGGUGCGAGGCCUCUUACUGGUUCAGUUGCACUCAUCUCGUGAGACAGAUAUAAAAAGAAUUCUGUUUUUGUCAGUGGAUGCCAACUUUAAAAUCUCAGAGCAUUAUUACCUUUUUGAAAUCGUGGGUCUUGCAUCUCUCUGUGGAACCAAAGAGCUCUUUGUGCCUCAGGGCCUUGCAUCUCACUGGAGUGCUCGAGCUCCUGCCCUCAGCUCACCUGAGCCAACAGACUUGGAUCCCUCGUCAGGGGGCCCAGCUUCCUGGCUCGUGACACAGAUCCUUACUCAUCCCCAGGACCCAAAGCCAUGGCGGGGGGCUAUUCCCGGCCAUACACCUUUGCCACCUUCAGCUGACCUCACAGGUGACAAAUCGUCCCCAGGGUCAAGGCCAGAAGCUAUAAGCUCCACAAAAUGAAGUAUCUGUCCCGAAAGCAUUCUAGAGAAGAAUCCUAAAGUCCAAAAAAGAGUGUCCUGUGAGUUCCAGAAUGCAUUCCUGUGAAUGGGUUUUGUGCAUAUGAAGUGGAUUAAGAAUGUUGUUCUGUGCACGUGAAGUGGAUUAAGAAUGUUGUUUUUCUUUCACUGUGAAACAAGGAGGCACCCUGCAAGGUUGCGUUCACAUCAUGUCUGCAAUUACUAGGAGGCUCGUAGGGGUGGGGAAGGUGCAUCUCAAGAACAUGAGGGUCUAAGAUGAAGGGCUGGAAACAGCAGGACUGUUCCCCAGUGCCAGGUGCCCACCGGAGUGAGGAAGGGAGAGGCCAGCUUCACUCCUGCUUGGGGCUAAUACCUCCAGAAGGCUCCUGCCUGGGCUGAGGGGAACCAACUGGUAGGGCAGCGCAACCUCUGGACUGAGGGGACAGGGCUGACUGCACCACAGCAAGCAGAAGCUCUCAGCUCUGGCCAGGUGCUCCGUGUCAGCCUCGCACCUGGAAGGUGGGAUUCAUGCACACACAAGUGCCACAGUCCUGCGUUGGAGCCCCACAACUCGGGGAAGGUGGGAGGAAGGGAAACGUGACAUUCAACUGCCCAUGAGACGCUUAAACUUCUGUAGGGAAGAGCAGGGCCAAAGGGAUCCAUAUGUCCCAUAGCAUACCAGAGCACACAGUGGCUCAGAGCAAGGCGGUGCUUGCCUGCUGGCCUCCCAGCAUCUGUGGGUUUUGUUUAGGCUUCAGAGGGUCUUGUUUCUCAUCUCCUUCCCCUUUGCCCCAUGAGCUAGCCCAGGGCACUGGAGACAAUUUAGGAAGUCUAGACAGCCCCAACUAGCAUCUCACUGUUCCUCCCACGGCCACACUCUGUACUUGGCCCCACUGCACCCUGGGGGGGUGGGCAUGAGAGCGCCCACUUCUCGGACGGGGGAACCUUUAGAGGAUAAACGCUUUGCCUUGCCGAGCCAGGAUUCAAACUCUUGUGCCUGGCUUGCACUUCCCACUGUACCUCCCUGCCUCACCUUCCUGGCAGAUGCUCCACCAUCCCUUGUACUUUAAAUGUCAAAGAGGCCAUGAGAGUGUGGGCUUUGAAUGUUUUUUGAAAGAACCUUCAUCUUGUUAAGCAGUAACUAAACUAGUGACAUGAAGUGCAAAAAAAAUGUUGAAUCCCCUUUUGAAAAAGUCCUUUCAGGUUUCUUGUCACGUAUAUUUCUUGGACACUUGUCAUCAAUAAGAAAAUAGUAGCUGGCUCGUGCUUAGCAAGAAGCAUAGUGGUACAUGGCUUUGGGUGCAGGAGGUGUAAGGUGAUGACCUGAGAUUUUGGCAAACACAGCCAGACUUAGACGUCCAUCUGAGGGCCGCUUUGCCUGGUUGCCGUGGUAAGGCCAUGGCUCCCACAUCUUGAAAGCAUAUUUUUGUGAACAUCAUCAGAGUCAGGAACAUAUUCAGUCAAAUGUCUUAAAUGCUGACAAAUCUUCCCCCUUUGACAGAAGUUUAUUUUCAGGAGCAGCUGAGUCAUUUAGAGCCAAAAUUGCUGAAUGGAUGGUGUCAUCAAGCUGGCUGAUAGCAAUGGAGGUCGAAAACUAAGACGUGACUGUUAAGUUCUUGAAGAGGUAACGCUUAAAGUUGGCCCAAACUGGAGGGCAGCACCUUUGCAAUACAAGGCUGGAUGGCUGCCGAGGAAAAUGUCUUUGAGUGAUGAUGUGAUGUGAAGGUUCCCAGGGCAGACACGUCACGGUCAUCCUUUCACGUGGCUUUUUGGGGCCUCCGUUAACCCAUCAUGCCCACUGGUGAAGUGCCCGAGUGCCCUGUAACUCUGAACUUCACCUGAAGAGACUAGAGCUGUCAGUCCAGUUGCUCCUGGCUUACUUAAACCUAACACGCCCAAAACUAGGAUUUUGACCCACAGUUCUAAGAGACACUGAUUUUGAAACUAGAGCACUUCUUUGGAGAGAGGAAGGAUGCAAAGUUCAGUAUUUCAUUUCCUCCUUGACAAAGCGUCCUUCUGAGGUUCUUGUGUGCAUUUUCGGAAACAGAGAUACAGUUUUGUAGAGCUGGCUUUUGAAUAUGUGUUCUUCACUCUUUGUCUUUUCUUAAAUCCCCAGAGAAGGAAACUGGUUAAAAUACUAGGAACAUUAAAGUAUUCCAUGUCAGUUAAUUUGUUGUGCUAAAGUCUCUUUUCAAUAGUGUUACAAUCCAUCCUAUUUAGUGUAAACUGCUCACAGAAAGGCCUGUGAAAACCGAAGGGGACAAUUACAGUCUAAAUAGAGGUCUUACUCUGGCUCUGUCCCCUCGGCAUUUUCAAAGAGGUGAUUUCAAAGGAUUUGCAUAUUAGAUUCUGGUUUUAUUUAUUUUUUUUUUUGGACAUGUAAUAAUGCACUUUAGGUGCAGAGUUCUUGGGUAGAAAGGAUGGGACCAGACAGGGAUGGGAUGGAACCAGUCUACCUGGGGAACUAACCCAGGUUUCUGUGUUACCUGGCCUGUUUCUUUAAAAAAAGAUCUUUUAUCAGGGGUUGCUGUGAGUUUUGUUAAUGUUUGUGUUGCUAGAUGUACGGUUAAAUGGAGCAUGUAGCUGGAAUAUUAACUUUCUGAGUGUUCACAUUGUCCUGAAUUUCUCUUUGCAAACCUUUAAACCUUAGCCCCUGGUUGAUUGUGUUAAAUCCAUUAUGAGAAUGUUAUUUAAAGUUGUAUUAUAAUUGCAACCUCCACUAAUUAUUCAGUACUGUAGCAGCAAAGUAUUAUUUGUAAGAAUUCGGUUAUUUUUAUACUUAUAUCCACUAUAAGUCUGGCGUUCUAGUCAGUAAAAUGAUGCAAUAAAAUAAAUAUUUUCA